Molecule: ribosomal RNA, 684 nt
Filed under: uncultured bacterium
Lineage: Bacteria
Description: bacterial SSU rRNA
Rfam family: Bacterial small subunit ribosomal RNA
Source: RNAcentral
GAACGGAGAUAUUCGCUGAUGAAGUACUUCGGUAAUGAAUCUUGGAUAUCUUAGUGGCGGACGGGUGAGUAACGCGUGAGCAACCUGCCUUUCAGAGGGGGAUAACGUUUGGAAACGAACGCUAAUACCGCAUGACAUUAUCUUAUCGCAUGGUAGGAUAAUCAAAGGAGCAAUCCGCCGAAAGAUGGGCUCGCGUCCGAUUAGGUAGUUGGUGGGGUAACGGCCCACCAAGCCGACGAUCGGUAGCCGGACUGAGAGGUUGGACGGCCACAUUGGGACUGAGACACGGCCCAGACUCCUACGGGAGGCAGCAGUAAGGGAUAUUGGUCAAUGGGGGAAACCCUGAACCAGCAACGCCGCGUGAGGGAAGACGGUUUUCGGAUUGUAAACCUCUGUCCUCUGUGAAGAUGAUGACGGUAGCAGAGGAGGAAGCUCCGGCUAACUACGUGCCAGCAGCCGCGGUAAUACGUAGGGAGCGAGCGUUGUCCGGAUUUACUGGGUGUAAAGGGUGCGUAGGCGGCUUGGCAAGUCAGUAGUGAAAUCCAUGGGCUUAACCCAUGAACUGCUAUUGAAACUGUCGAGCUUGAGUGAAGUAGAGGUAGGCGGAAUUCCCGGUGUAGCGGUGAAAUGCGUAGAGAUCGGGAGGAACACCAGUGGCGAAGGCGGGCUACUGGGCUUUAACUG